GCGGUCAUGGCGGAAUUGGCAGACGCGCAAGAUUUAGGUUCUUGUGUUACGACGUGAGGGUUCAAGUCCCUCUGACCGCA
Molecule: transfer RNA, 80 nt
Filed under: Blautia liquoris
Lineage: Bacteria; Bacillati; Bacillota; Clostridia; Lachnospirales; Lachnospiraceae
Rfam family: tRNA
About the family: Transfer RNA (tRNA) molecules are approximately 80 nucleotides in length. Their secondary structure includes four short double-helical elements and three loops (D, anti-codon, and T loops). Further hydrogen bonds mediate the characteristic L-shaped molecular structure. tRNAs have two regions of fundamental functional importance: the anti-codon, which is responsible for specific mRNA codon recognition, and the 3' end, to which the tRNAs corresponding amino acid is attached (by aminoacyl-tRNA synthetases). tRNAs cope with the degeneracy of the genetic code in two manners: having more than one tRNA (with a specific anti-codon) for a particular amino acid; and 'wobble' base-pairing, i.e. permitting non-standard base-pairing at the 3rd anti-codon position.
Source: Rfam by way of RNAcentral